This 4034-nucleotide small RNA is filed under the name Pan troglodytes (chimpanzee). RNAcentral's name for it is "retained intron". Lineage: Eukaryota; Metazoa; Chordata; Mammalia; Primates; Hominidae. The record is from RNAcentral.
ACCUUGGCCUCCCAAAGUGCUGAGAUUACAGGCAUGAGCCACUGUGCCCAGCUGAAUGGACUUUUUUAACGGGAAAGUUUCAUUGAAUUUGCUACUUUAGUUUUUGCUAAACCAGCCUCCCUUAACCCUACCUUCUUCUCACUAGAAAACAAGUCAGUGUGAAAGCAAUUAAAACCAUAUAUUCAUUAUCCAUGUAUUUAUUACUUUUAUUAUUCUGUUUAGUGAGAUUGCCCCAGCUUAGGAAAGGAAUUACUUGAUUUUUAUCUUUUUUGCCCCAGACAUGGAGCCCAAACCUGCAACCAAGAAUGCUACACAAACAAAGGCUAUUUCUGAAGAUUUAUCACAGGAGGCCAUACUAGAGAAACUUACAGAGAAUGGUCUGUGGGAUUCCAGAAUGGAAGGGUUAUGGAAAUGGAAUGAUAGGAUAUUGAGAUUACAAAAUAAUCAGGAGAAUCAUUUGAGUCAAAGAAUAAUUCCACUCAGGAAGACUCCCACUAGUCAAAGAGGCUUUAGAUUUGAAUCUAUUCUUAUUCCAGAACCAGGCUUUGUCACAGAAGAGCUUCACAGCAGACGCCAAACACAAGAGGAAAAUUUCACAGAGAAUUUAAAUUUGAUUACAGAUACCCAUUUGGGGAAGAUAAUUUGCAAGGAGAUGAAAGGCAGCAAAGCCAUAAGGCAGACUUCAGAACUAACUUUGGGGAAAAAAUCCAAUAAUAAGGAAAAACCCUACAAAUGUAGUACAUGCGAAAAGGCCUUUCAUUAUAGAUCAUUGCUCAUUCAACAUCAAAGAACUCAUACUAAAGAAAAACCUUAUGAAUGUAAUGAAUGUGGGAAAACAUUCAGCCAGCCUUCAUAUCUCAGUCAGCACAAAAAAAUCCACACUGGAGAAAAACCCUAUAAAUGUAAUGAAUGUGGAAAGGCCUUCAUUGCUUCUUCAUCACUUAUGGUACAUCAGAGAAUUCACACUAAAGAGAAACCUUAUCAGUGUAAUGUGUGUGGGAAAUCUUUUAGCCAGUGUGCCCGUCUUAAUCAGCACCAGAGAAUUCAAACUGGAGAGAAACCCUAUAAAUGUAGUGAAUGCGGGAAAGCUUUUAGUGAUAAAUCAAAACUUGCAAGACAUCAGGAAACUCACAAUGGUGAGAAACCCUACAAAUGUGAUGAUUGUGGGAAAGCCUUUAGGAACAAGUCAUAUCUUAGUGUACAUCAGAAGACCCACACUGAAGAGAAACCGUAUCAGUGCAACGAGUGUGGGAAGUCUUUUAAGAAUACCACAAUUUUUAAUGUGCAUCAGAGGAUUCAUACUGGAGAGAAACCUUUUAGAUGUAACGAAUGUGGAAAAGCCUAUAGAAGUAAUUCAAGCCUUAUCGUACAUAUAAGAACUCACACUGGGGAAAAACCCUAUGAAUGUAAUGAAUGUGGGAAAGCAUUCAACCGCAUCGCAAAUUUCACAGAACAUCAGCGAAUUCACACAGGAGAAAAACCCUAUAAAUGUAAUGAAUGUGGGAAAGCAUUCAUUAAUUAUUCAUGCCUUACUGUACACCACAGAAUGCAUACAGGAGAGAAACCUUAUAAAUGUACUGAAUGUGGAAAGGCCUUCAUGCGUUCUUCUUCUCUAAUUAUACAUCAGCGUAUUCAUACUGAAGAGAAACCUUAUCUGUGCAAUGAAUGUGGGGAGUCUUUCAGAAUAAAAUCACACUUAACUGUACAUCAGAGAAUUCACACUGGAGAGAAACCAUAUAAAUGUACUGACUGUGAGAGGGCAUUCACCAAAAUGGUAAAUCUCAAGGAGCAUCAGAAAAUUCAUACUGGAGUGAAACCCUAUAAAUGUUAUGACUGUGGAAAGUCCUUUAGGACAAAAUCAUACCUUAUUGUACAUCAGAGGACCCAUACUGGAGAAAAACCAUAUAAAUGUAAUGAAUGUGAGAAAGCCUUCACUAAUACAUCACAGCUUACCGUGCACCAACGAAGGCAUACUGGAGAGAAGCCCUAUAAAUGCAAUGAAUGUGGAAAGGUUUUCACAAGUAACUCAGGCUUUAAUACACAUCAAAGAACACAUACUGGAGAGAAACCAUUUAAAUGUAAUGACUGUGGGAAAGCAUUUAGCCAGAUGGUACAUGUCACAGAACAUCAGAAAAUCCAUAGUGGAGAGAAGCCCUAUAAGUGUGAUGUCUGUGGAAAAGCCUUCAGGAGGGGUUCUUACCUUACAGUGCAUUGGAGAACACACACUGGAGAAAAACCCUACACCUGUAAGGAAUGUGGAAAGGGUUGUAUUACUCUAUCACAGCUAACCCUACAUCAGAGAAUUCAUACUGGGGAGAGGCCCUAUAAAUGUGAAGAAUGUGGAAAAGCCUUCAGAACUAACUCAGACUUUACUGUACACUUGAGGAUGCAUACUGGAGAAAAACCCUAUAAAUGUAAUGAAUGUGGAAAAGCCUUCAGGAGUAGUUCGAGCCUUACUGUACAUCAAAGAAUACAUCAAAGAGAAACUCAGUUAAUAUAAAGAACAAUAAGUCAUUCACCUAGAUGUCAACUCCACAAGAUGAAUCUUAUAAACUAUAUUUUAUGAAUAUAGGAAAAUCUUCAUUAGGAAUUUAUCAGAAAGUAUACAGAGAAACUAUAAACAAUUAUGUGGGAAAUCAUUUAAUAAUAUUAAAUCUUAGAAGUUAUAAGGAAACUCUCACUAGAGGAAAAUAAUGAACAAAUGAAAGUGUUCAUCCAGAUUUCAUACUUUACUCAUUUAACAAAUUAUCUUUAGUUAAUUGCCUAUAUAUGUAUUUGCCUAUUUUUCUAUUCAUUUAUCUGUCUUUUCUUAUAAACCUGGAGGUGCUUUUUAUAUAUUUUUGAUAUUAAUCCUUUGUCAUUAUGUAGCAGAUGUUUUUCUUAAUCUAGCAUUUGUCUUUAUACUUUAUAGUAAUGCACAACAUUUUUAUAGGAAAAUAUUUGUAUCAUUUCCUUUUUAGAUUUUUUAUUUACUCAUUUUACUUAAAAGAGAUCUCCUUAAUCCCUAGGUUAUACGUAGUAUCCUAAAUGUGUUUUUAAGAUUUUUAUGAUUUUAUUUUUUACACUUAAGUCUUUAAUCCCUCUGGACUGGAUGGUUCUUCAUAGGAGAGCAACUGUAGGUGAUCAUUAUCCUGUGAAAAUAUUUUGAACCUAAAAAGCACUCAGGGAAAUGCAAAUUGAAAUGCUCAGUGAGAUGAAACUUCCCCUUCAUGGAUCUGGCAAAAAUUAAGAGAUCUUUUGCUAGCUAUUGGGAUUUGGGAAACCAUGUACUAUUACUUAAAGGUUGUGUAACAUACUUCCACCAGCAGUCCAACAAUAUAUGUUUAAAAAUUUAAAACAUAUAUACUCUUAGACCCAGCAGUCUCACUUUUGGAAUCUGUCCCUUAGAAAUAAAAGCAGCAUCAAUGCAUAAGAAUGUAAAUAAACAUGUUUGUUGAAGUACUGUUUGUAGAGGGGGGCAAAGCCCCAACUGCAAACAAAGUGAAUGCCCAUUAAUAGGGAACUGGUUAGAUAAAUUGUGACAUACCCAUAUUAUGGAACAGUGUGAGAGUAAUUUUAAAAAUGACUUAUAUCUAUACUAGCUGAUUUCAAUGUAUUUCCACAAUGUAUUGAUAAAUAAUUGCUUUAUAACAAAUGUAUAUAUACAAUAUAUCAUUUUUGUUAAAAUAAUCACACCCAUUUAUUUUGUGUUUAUGUGUGUGUGUGUGGUUAGAUGCACAUGGAGACAGGUAUGGAAGAAUAUACACCAGGCUGUUAAUAUUGAUUACCUUGAGGGGAGUGAGAAAAGGAGAAGUAGAGAUAAGGGAAGGAGAGACUGUAAAAACAGAAAAAUGUAAAUGCUGCCUUUAUGGUAUAAAACUGUAAAUGUAAUAUUAUGUAAUUAUGUGAACUUUUGAGAGAGAUGAAAGGAUGGUCUCCAAAAAAUUAAUGAUGGUUAUUUCUGUUUUAGUGGAUCAUCAAUUUUUUGUUUUUUACUUUCUUUUCUGUUUUUAAUUUUUUCCUUGCAAUGAACCUGUAAUAUUUACAUUAAAAGG